This 460-nucleotide ribosomal RNA is filed under the name uncultured bacterium. Its description in RNAcentral is "partial 16S ribosomal RNA". It matches the Rfam family "Bacterial small subunit ribosomal RNA", at positions 338 to 795 of the family's 1533-position model. The record is from RNAcentral.
CCUACGGGAGGCUGCAGUGAGGAAUAUUGGUCAAUGGGCGAGAGCCUGAACCAGCCAAGUAGCGUGAAGGAUGACUGCCCUACGGGUUGUAAACUUCUUUUAUAAAGGAAUAAAGUGAUGCACGUGUGCCUUUUUGUAUGUACUUUAUGAAUAAGGAUCGGCUAACUACGUGCCAGCAGCCGCGGUAAUACGGAGGGGGCAAGCGUUAUCCGGAUUUAUUGGGUGUAAAGGGAGCGUAGAUGGCUCGGGAAGUCUGAAGUGAAAGGCAGGGGCUUAACCCGUGAACUGCUUUGGAAACUGGCAGGCUAGAGUGCUGGAGAGGUAAGUGGAAUUCGUGGUGUAGCGGUGAAAUGCGUAGAUAUUAGGAAGAACACCGAUUGCGAAGGCAGCUUACUGGACAGUAACUGACGUUGAGGCUCGAAAGCGUGGGUAGCAAACAGGAUUAGAUACCCCGGUAGUC